GGUUGAUCCUGCCAGUAGUCAUAUGCUUGUCUCAAAGAUUAAGCCAUGCAUGUCCAAGUAUAAAUGGUUAUACACAGUGAAACUGCGAAUGGCUCAUUAAAUCAGUUAUAGUUUAUUUGAAGGUACCUUACUACUUGGAUAACCGUGGUAAUUCUAGAGCUAAUACAUGCAGCAGGCCCCGACUUUUGGAAGGGGUGUAUUUAUUAGAUACAAAAACCAGAUGUGAUACUUGCAAAAGCAUCACAAUUACAAUUGGUGAUUCAUGAUAACUGAUCGAAUCGCACAACACUCGA
This 293-nucleotide ribosomal RNA is filed under the name uncultured eukaryote. Its description in RNAcentral is "partial 18S ribosomal RNA". It matches the Rfam family "Eukaryotic small subunit ribosomal RNA", at positions 6 to 283 of the family's 1831-position model. The record is from RNAcentral.